RNAcentral lists this unclassified non-coding RNA (238 nucleotides) under Chaetothyriales sp. RNAcentral describes it as "partial contains 5.8S ribosomal RNA, internal transcribed spacer 2, and large subunit ribosomal RNA". Lineage: Eukaryota; Fungi; Ascomycota; Eurotiomycetes; Chaetothyriales. The record is from RNAcentral.
CGCACAUUGCGCCCCUUGGUAUUCCGAGGGGCAUGCCUGUCCGAGCGUCAUUAUCACCAUCAAGCAUUGCUUGGCUUUGGGUCUCACCUGGAAGGGUGGACCUGGAAAUCAGUGGCGGUUCCUCUGGGUCUCGAGCGUUGUAAAACAUUCACGCUGUGAGUCCCAGAGUCGUGACCUGCCAACCACACCCAUAUUAUAGGUUGACCUCGGAUCAGGUAGGGAUACCCGCUGAACUUAA